RNAcentral lists this unclassified non-coding RNA (3631 nucleotides) under Orbicella faveolata. Its description in RNAcentral is "neuropeptide Y receptor type 1-like, transcript variant X4". Lineage: Eukaryota; Metazoa; Cnidaria; Anthozoa; Scleractinia; Merulinidae. The record is from RNAcentral.
UUUACCUGGACAGCUGGUGGGCAGUUCCUGCAGAUAGGCUCAGCCAUUUCUUUUAAUUUCUUCUUUGUUUUGAACCUGCGCUGGUUCAAUUUCAGCUUUAGAGCAUCACCGUACGGGUGCUAGAUUUCUCUUCCAUUUGCAAGCGAUGAGCACCAGGUUCACAUUUAUUUCAUAAACUUCAUAAAAAAGAUCUUUCUUCACGCGUGCGUAACACAUGCGGAGAUGAUGCACUAUGCUGCGUCAAACUAUAAACCGCCGGUUAUGGAGUUGUGACGUAGAUUAAACGUCUGUGAGCUUUCCCGCGCUAUCUUCCUUCGCCGCAAAUCUUAUUUUACCUUCCCUUUGCCUGUUGAAUGAAUUAGGCAUAGAUGUUAAGGUUAAUUUGUGUUAGUUAUAUAGCUGUUGAAAAUUCACGGUAGAGGCUGUGCAAGACUGCCUUGUUGUAAAGUUAGAAAAUAUGGCUAGGGAGGUGAUAGUCAUUGUUCCUCUUGCCGAAAUCAACAUGAAAAUAGUCUAAAUAGAUAGUUUCACGCCGGUACUUUAGUUUUCAAAUUGUAAAUGAAAAAAAAUUUGGAACGCUUCACGAGUUUGCGUGUCAUCCUUGCGCAGGGGCCAUGCUAAUCUUCUCUGUAUCGUUCCAAUUUUAAUAUAUGUGCUGCCGUUAAGCGAGCACGUCUAUAGCUAGGUUCACGAUGCCGUUUUAUUUAGUUCAUUUGCCGUGGGACUCUUACUAAAGGUAUAAAGAAAAAAAACACCUGUUUGAAAUUUCAAUUGCUUGCUGCACGCAUGCGUAUAGUCCACGCUAUUCUACAAACAAAAACCUGAAUAUAUAUCGCUUUUGUAUCUAUUUGAAGUUGUCUAUAUUUUCUGUUUUAAUUGCCACAAUUGGUACAGAUAUUGGCCGAAACAACUGCAUCAAACAGGCACAAGCAUGGUAUAAAUCUUCCAUUGUGAACUGAAAUGCCAUACUUAGGGAGCUGCUGUAACGUUUACUCCGUUUCUAUUGUAAGAAUGAAGAGUAAUACGCCGUAUGAUCAGCUUUGUGACCUCUGGACAACUUUUUUUUUUUUUACCUCGACGUUGAAUGAACGUUCAAAAUUUCCGCCACAUUAGCAAAUUCAGCGAGAGGACUGAAAACGAAUUCAGUCUCAGACCCUCGCAGUUACAUGGUGUUCAAUAUGGCGGAUGUUGUGAACAGUCGCGUGGGAAGCCGGAUUCUACCAUUUUAAAGCCGUGGCCAUAGCCGUGAUUCCGAAAGACACUGGUUAUUCAGCAGGUUGGAAUAAUGAUUCCAUCAAUGGUUUGCUUUUACAGAGAUGCCAACCAAAGGAAUCCAAAUCCAGGAGAUAUAUGAACAGGAUUCUCGAAACUUACCCGCAAGUAACACCACCCAGCCUUCGCACAUCAAUGAAUGUUCCAUUUAAGCUGCCAUGUUCGGUAACGUUUACAAGCCGUAUUUAGUCAAGAGCAAAAGGACUGGCUUCUGCAUUUACACAAGGUUGGACUUUUUUAAAUAAGAAAUUGACAUUUAUCUGUUAUAUCCAAUAAAUAGUAGUCUUUUGUUGUUAGAGAAUAAAUUAUACUACUGAUGUUUUAAGCACUUUUAAUUAAAAAGUACUGAAAACCAGUAAUUCAAAAAUGUGACUUUAAGUGUCAACGUGUAAGAAUGACGGCAUUUUUUUCUGAUUUCGCAUUUGUAAACAAACGAUCAGGUUAUUUCGUAAUCUUAAUUAAACAGAUAUAAAAUUGUGGCUCGCUAUGUUUGUUCACCUGCUCGCCACGUUGAAUAGUAAUAUGCUGCUGAUCAAACAAACUUUAUAUUAGUGAAGAGAAUCGUGGAACGAGAAACUUGGACCAAAAUUUGCCUCGGUUGAGUUAGAUGGUCUGGGACGUGAAAUUAGCGUCUUGGCGAAACUGGUUGCCAAUUGCGAGUCGGGUGACCAGCUGAGGCCCGUUUCUCGAAGGUUCCGAAACGUUUUCGCACCCGGAAAGCCAUAGCAAAAAUCCCAAACCUUAUGAUUAUGGAGCUAUUUUAUUCACAUAUUCAGUGAAGUGUCAGGCGAAAACACCUCUCGUUUUUAGACACAGAUUAAGCAAAAAUGGCUUCGCGCGCCCGAGAAGUUACCGGGCUUUCGAGAAAGGGGCCCUGGAGGAGUGAAGAUCAAUAAGACAAUAUAUAUAUAAGUCCUCAAGCAAUCCAGAAUUCCAAAGAUGUAAGCACAGCUCAGUACGCGCUACAGAGAGAGAGAGACAGAAAUUACUGAAAGGAACUAGCCCUGUGGAGAAUAGCAAAUAAGAGAAGAUGUAACGACGACAAGAUGACAAAAUAAACGGUAUUUCGCGACGUUAAGUCAAACUGUCGCCAGUAGGGAUGAAUGAGCUGAUAACAGGUAACAUAAUCUGAGAGCUCAUAGAUGUCAGUGAUGCCAAGGACGCCUUGAUCAAUCACAUUCCCUCUAACUAUUAUAGCUACUUCCACCCAACGGUCCACUAACAGACUCACCUAAAGAGAAGAACCACGACCAGGACCUCGACAAAACUCAUCGCAUAUGCAACCAUUAGAAGUUCUUAAUGCAUAUGCUUCUCACAUUCUAGGUUACCAUGACAACAAGGUGGUUUAAGAUCAGAAGUGCGUUUCUCAUCAGCCAGCAUGAACUUACAACUUAGCAUUUGAGAGAGAAAACUCAUCAGAUCAUGUCAUACUUUUGCUAUAUGUUAUCUUUUUUGUCCUGAUUAGCGAAGUAGCUGGUUAAUUCAACUGUGACUUAUUUAUUGGCCUCUCCUAUUUGCUUUCGUAUUGCACCUUGAAAUCGUUAUUUUUUUUCUCUGUUUCAUAUGGCUUAAAUCUUGACGUUGUUCACACUCUGUUGGUUUAAUUACACCAUUCAAUUCUGCAGUGUCGCUUUUCUUUUUCACUCUUAAAUCAUCUUGAAAAGGAAACUGUCGAAAUCCUUGGUAUACAAUGUCAAUAACAAAAUAUACAGCAUCGCACUUAUUAAAGGAAAAAUCAUCGCUAUGGCAAUGACUGACUUUUUAUUAGACUUCAGUGGUUCCCGUGAUAAUCUUAAACAACUAAACCAAAGUUACUUUGGUAAGAUUACUUUAAGUUAAAAAUAUACAGCAGAAUAGUAUAAAAACAUACCGAAUGAGUAUAGACUGGAGAAGGUCAAUAGAGUUAAUCAUCCAUAUAGGCCUCAUACUCAAGGUAAUUCCCGAUCUUAAGUUAUUUGGAGACAUUAGAGACAUUUAGCAACAGCGUUUUCGUGUUAACGGCAAACCGCAAAACGCAGUUUCAGGUUUUUUUUUUUUUUUAUUGCAAUGCACAAAACUAUUUACACGACUUUCGUUACAAUACUUUACUACUUUACUAUACAUAAACAGGACUUACGGUUUAACACAACUAAUUCACACUCACUCACGUACACACACUACGAACCAGUUUACAUAGCAAAGUCACACCUAUUUGAGCCUGACAUAUUCUAAGUUAUUCAACUACUUCUAGUAUUUAUAUUGCCCACUUCUUCCUAAACAUCUACACUAUUAUUUUUUGUACAGAUGUAUUUUUCAGUCUCAUACUUUAAUUUGACUUUUGAUUUAAAACCUCGUAUACUUGGAAGUUCUUUAUUCCUUC